This 656-nucleotide ribosomal RNA is filed under the name uncultured Bacteroidales bacterium. Its description in RNAcentral is "bacterial SSU rRNA". It matches the Rfam family "Bacterial small subunit ribosomal RNA", at positions 69 to 720 of the family's 1533-position model. Lineage: Bacteria; Pseudomonadati; Bacteroidota; Bacteroidia; Bacteroidales. The record is from RNAcentral.
AUCAUCAAAGCUUGCUUUGAUGGAUGGCGACCGGCGCACGGGUGAGUAACACGUAUCCAACCUGCCGACAACACUGGGAUAGCCUUUCGAAAGAAAGAUUAAUACCGGAUGGCAUAGUUUUCCCGCAUGGGAUAAUUAUUAAAGAAUUUCGGUUGUCGAUGGGGAUGCGUUCCAUUAGGCAGUUGGCGGGGUAACGGCCCACCAAACCAACGAUGGAUAGGGGUUCUGAGAGGAAGGUCCCCCACAUUGGAACUGAGACACGGUCCAAACUCCUACGGGAGGCAGCAGUGAGGAAUAUUGGUCAAUGGACGAGAGUCUGAACCAGCCAAGUAGCGUGAAGGAUGACUGCCCUAUGGGUUGUAAACUUCUUUUAUACGGGAAUAAAGUGAGCCACGUGUGGCUUUUUGUAUGUACCGUAUGAAUAAGGAUCGGCUAACUCCGUGCCAGCAGCCGCGGUAAUACGGAGGAUCCGAGCGUUAUCCGGAUUUAUUGGGUUUAAAGGGAGCGUAGGCGGGUUGUUAAGUCAGUUGUGAAAGUCUGCGGCUCAACCGCAAAAUUGCAGUUGAUACUGGCGACCUUGAGUGCAACAGAGGUAGGCGGAAUUCGUGGUGUAGCGGUGAAAUGCUUAGAUAUCACGAAGAACUCCGAUUGCGAAG